GCUAUACCCAGCCCAGGUCUUAACCGAGGCAAAGUUCCAUUCAAUUGCGGUAGGGGUAAGCGAUAUUGCGUACCUAGCCAACCACCAAAACGUUGCCCUCCUUACAAGCGUAAUUGUGGGCGGCGCCUUUAAGAUUAGAAGCAAGCAAAGUUGAGUGCUUAAAAGUAUGGAGAGCUUCUGCUGUCUUUAUCAAUAUGUAAAAUGAUGAGAACUAUUUAUGUGCGGAAAAUAAAUAAAAUAUCUCUAAGAACAUUACUAGAGUUCGGGUCCAUGGUAGCUAUGACUUCUAGAUUGUGUACUAGACGACCACUACGUAAAUGCAUGCAAAAACUAAUCAUGAGACUGAGAUCACAAAAUAACACUUGCAAGUAAAACGCAAAAUAAAAUUAUAGCUAAUAAAAUAAAAUAAAGAAAAUAAUUUUUUUUUAAUUAUUAUUAUCUUGGAAACUAAGUAAUGACAUAUUAAACCAGGAAAAUGCGCAAGCAAGCAGUGUAAGUCCUCUAAAUGCACACAAGUAAUCCAAACAUAAUGUUUCAAUUUUCCCACUAAUUUAACCAAGCUCCACAAUUAAUUAAGAGGAUUAGAUCUUCAAUGCUAAACAAGCUCAAAAUUAAGGUAAUUCAAUGUAAAGGCGGGCUAUAUAAUUUAGUUAUGGGCAAGCACAAAGAAUAAUAUCAAUGCUAAAUAUUGGUUAACAAGUUUAAAAGCAUACCAGGAAUGAUGAUUUUCAAUGGGUAAAAAUUCUGACUGUAUGAUGUGGCAGUGAAGGAUUACGUGGCAGCUGACAUGGUAGGAUAUGCUGGCGUGGCAGGAUACGCUGGCGUGGCGGGAUACGUUGCCUUGGCGGGAUCUGAUGACAUGGCAAGAACUGAUGUCGUGGCAGAUGACGUGGUGCUGACGUGGCUAGGGUAAUUAUUUUACCAGCUUCUGUUUCCUUCUCCUCUAUAUCCUUAGGUGUUGUUGCUGGCGGCGCACGCGUGACUGCUGAAGGCGAGGACCACCGCAGUCUGUUGAAGAUGGUGGUUGCCGCCGGUCGGUUCUACUGCUCUGUCGGUCGCUAAUGGUGGGAGGCGAUGAUGGUGUUGUGGACGGUUGCUGGCGCUGAGAAGGACGACACUGGCUGAGGCGCUGCCUUUGCUACUGUAAACCCGAAUCGAUGUUGGCUGUGAUGGGUGUUGUGGGUAGCGGCGUCUGGUGGUUUGUGGUUCUGCUUUGGCUGCUGAAGCCGCAGGUCUGUUGUGGUUCUGUGAAGGCGCCGCUGAAAUGGUUUGGUGUGAUCUAUCAGCGGCGUGGAGAAUGGCCUCCUGUAGGAGAAUCUGUCAUCGUGGGUCUUGGUGUGACCGGCGUUGAGGCAGAGUUUCCGGUCGAUGUUGAUGCAUGCUGUAAUCGACGUCUUCCAGAUUUGUUGAAUAUUGCAGCAGAGGGGAAGAUGAACAGUGUUUUUUGUGAUCAGAACAGUAGGUGUUUUUUUUUUUUGAACAGUGAAUUUUUUUUUUUUAAGAUCAACUGGAUCUAGGGUUUAGCAUAACAUUGUAGGUCAUUUAAUUGUAAGAACAAUUAAAACCCUAGCUCUAAUACCAAAUUUGAUGCGGAACAAUAAAUAAUAAAAUUAGAGCAAGCACAUAAAGAAGCUGUAGAAAAGAAAGAAGCUGAAGAAGAGAAGAAAGGGGAUUGGAGUUAUGCAAAGUCUAUAAUACUUUCAUUAAUCAUCAAAAAUUGUCUCUCAAGAUGACAGAAGAACAUAUAAAUAGUAAACCCUAAAACAUCCCGUUAUUGGGCUCGGCCCAUCAAAUCAAACUAUUUAGCAUAAAUAAUAAAAUAACAAUGAGCAGGCCCAAAUGAGCUAAAUAAAUAAAAUAACAAUGAAAUAGGCCCAAAUAGGCUUAGUCUCCCAACCAAAGCGUGACAGGUUGGGCCAUCCUAUAUCUUCUCUGUCCAUAUACUCGUGUAGUUUAUGGUGGGGUCUGGUGUCCCCACCACCAGCUUUUUUCAUGCACACAACUUUUUGUUAUAAAACUAAUGAGUCAACCUUUACCUUUACUUCCAGCAUUUUAAUUAACUAGAGAUAAUCAUUUCAUGUUAUAUGUUAUUUAAUUAAUCUGUCGUGGGCUAUCUUAUAAAAAAAUGAUUUUCAAAGGUGGUAACUCCAUUUAAAAGGUAAGAAGAAAACUAGGUCCUUUUCAAAGUCAUUGUAAGACCUAAUAUUGCUUGGGAUUUUCCGAAGGCUUUGUAGAAAAAGCCCUUAAUUCUAUUAAUUAAAAACUUUCACCAUUUAUUUUGAUACUAGUUUAAUAAUUGCCAUGAUUCAAUUCGCUGUUAUCUUAACAAGCUAACGUUUAUAUAUAUACGUGUGUGGAAAUCUUUCAGCUGUACACAGCCCACCUCUUAACCCUGGCAAAGUUCCAUUCAAUUGCGGUAGGGGUCAACGAUAUUGCGUACCUAGCCAACCACCAACAUCAACACCAUGUCUUCCUUACAAGCGUAAUUGUGGGCGGCGCCUUUAAGAUUAGAAGCAAGCAAAGUUGAGUGCUUAGAAGUAUGGAGAGCUUCUGCUGUCUUUAUCAAUAUGUAAAAUGAUGAGAACUAUUUAUGUGCGGAAAAUAAAUAAAGUUGAGUAUAUAAGGAUCCAGCUAGGCGAUAUUUAUGGAGUAACGUCGCCUACAAGUCUACAAUGGUACUAAGGA
This 2685-nucleotide long non-coding RNA is filed under the name Populus trichocarpa (black cottonwood). Its description in RNAcentral is "long non-coding RNA (PTRI_LNC004527)". The record is from RNAcentral. Lineage: Eukaryota; Viridiplantae; Streptophyta; Magnoliopsida; Malpighiales; Salicaceae.